Molecule: ribosomal RNA, 253 nt
Filed under: uncultured bacterium
Lineage: Bacteria
Description: partial 16S ribosomal RNA
Rfam family: Bacterial small subunit ribosomal RNA
Source: RNAcentral
UACGUAGGGGGCAAGCGUUGUCCGGAAUCAUUGGGCGUAAAGCGCGUGUAGGCGGCUCGAUAAGUCUGCUGUGAAAGUCCAGGGCUCAACCCUGGAAUGCCGGUGGAAACUGUCGAGCUAGAGUCCGGAAGAGGCGAGUGGAAUUCCCGGUGUAGCAGUGAAAUGCGUAGAGAUCGGGAGGAACACCAGUGGCGAAGGCGGCUACCUGGACCAGCACUGACACUGAGGCACGAAAGCGUGGGGAGCAAACAGG